AGAUUGAACGCUGGCGGCAUGCCUUACACAUGCAAGUCGAACGGCAGCACGGGGGCAACCCUGGUGGCGAGUGGCGAACGGGUGAGUAAUAUAUCGGAACGUGCCCUGGAGUGGGGGAUAGCUCGGCGAAAGCCGGAUUAAUACCGCAUACGAUCUACGGAUGAAAGUGGGGGAUCGCAAGACCUCAUGCUCCUGGAGCGGCCGAUAUCUGAUUAGCUAGUUGGUAGGUAAAGCCUACCAAGGCAUCGAUCAGUAGCUGGUCUGAGAGGACGACCAGCCACACUGGAACUGAGACACGGUCCAGACUCCUACGGGAGCAGCAGUGGGAAUUUUUGGACAAUGGGGGCAACCCGUGAUCCAGCAAUCGCCGCGUGUGUGAAGAAGGCCUUGGUGUAAAGCUAGUUUGGCGGAACGAACGGUUUGGCUAAGUACCCGU
RNAcentral lists this ribosomal RNA (436 nucleotides) under uncultured soil bacterium. Its description in RNAcentral is "bacterial SSU rRNA". It matches the Rfam family "Bacterial small subunit ribosomal RNA", at positions 26 to 470 of the family's 1533-position model. The record is from RNAcentral.